RNAcentral lists this ribosomal RNA (67 nucleotides) under Pantoea ananatis BRT175. RNAcentral's name for it is "partial 16S ribosomal RNA". It matches the Rfam family "Bacterial small subunit ribosomal RNA", at positions 1 to 65 of the family's 1533-position model. The record is from RNAcentral. Lineage: Bacteria; Pseudomonadati; Pseudomonadota; Gammaproteobacteria; Enterobacterales; Erwiniaceae.
UUAAAUUGAAGAGUUUGAUCAUGGCUCAGAUUGAACGCUGGCGGCAGGCCUAACACAUGCAAGUCGG